RNAcentral lists this long non-coding RNA (205 nucleotides) under Lathyrus oleraceus (garden pea). RNAcentral describes it as "Pisum sativum (pea) long non-coding RNA (PSAT_LNC011717)". The record is from RNAcentral. Lineage: Eukaryota; Viridiplantae; Streptophyta; Magnoliopsida; Fabales; Fabaceae.
UUUAUUAUUUUAAUUCCUUUUCAUUUUGAAAAUUCAUAUCUCUCUCAUUAUUGGUCCAAAAAUUAUGGGACCAAUUUCAUUCUUCUCCUUUUAAUUUCUACUUUCUAAAAAUGAUUUUUAAUAUUUUUUAUUUUAUCAUUUGAUAUUUUUUAGUAAUUUUCUCUUUUCUAGUUUUUUUUAAUUCAUUUAAAAUAGUUUUUGAUAU